UACGGGGGGGGCAAGCGUUGUUCGGAAUUACUGGGCGUAAAGGGCGCGUAGGCGGGUGGACAAGUCUCUCGUGAAAGCCCACGGCUCAACCGUGGAAUUGCGGGAGAUACUGUCUGUCUUGAGUCCGGGAGAGGAGGGUGGAAUUCCCAGUGUAGCGGUGAAAUGCGUAGAUAUUGGGAGGAACAACGUUGGCGAAGGCGGCUCUCUGGACCGGUACUGACGCUGAGGCUCGAAAGCUAGGGGAGCAAACGGG
RNAcentral lists this ribosomal RNA (253 nucleotides) under uncultured bacterium. RNAcentral describes it as "partial 16S ribosomal RNA". It matches the Rfam family "Bacterial small subunit ribosomal RNA", at positions 524 to 776 of the family's 1533-position model. The record is from RNAcentral.